UAUACCGUGAAACUGCGAAUGGCUCAUUAAAUCAGUUAUCGUUUAUUUGAUAGUACCUUACUACAUGGAUAACCGUGGUAAUUCUAGAGCUAAUACAUGCUAAAAACCUCGACUUCGGAAGGGGUGUAUUUAUUAGAUAAAAAACCAAUGCCCUCCGGGGCUCCUUGGUGAUUCAUAAUAACUUCUCAGAUCGCAUGGCCUUGCGCCGGCGACGGUUCAUUCAAAUUUCUGCCCUAUCAACUUUCGAUGGUAAGGUAUUGGCUUACCAUGGUUUCAACGGGUAACGGGGAAUUAGGGUUCGAUUCCGGAGAGGGAGCCUGAGAAACGGCUACCACAUCCAAGGAAGGCAGCAGGCGCGCAAAUUACCCAAUCCCGAUACGGGGAGGUAGUGACAAUAAAUACUGAUACAGGGCUCUUUAGGGUCUUGUAAUUGGAAUGAGUACAAUUUAAACCUCUUAACGAGGAACAAUUGGAGGGCAAGUCUGGUGCCAGCAGCCGCGGUAAUUCCAGCUCCAAUAGCGUAUAUUAAAGUUGUUGCAGUUAAAAAGCUCGUAGUUGAACCUUUGGCCUGGCUGGCGGGUCCGCCUCACCGCGUGCACUCGUCCGGCCGGGCCUUUUCUUCUGGAGAACCGCAUGCCCUUCACUGGGUGUGUUGGGGACCAGGACUUUUACUUUGAAAAAAUUAGAGUGUUC
RNAcentral lists this ribosomal RNA (693 nucleotides) under Periconia sp. RNAcentral describes it as "SSU rRNA". It matches the Rfam family "Eukaryotic small subunit ribosomal RNA", at positions 75 to 776 of the family's 1831-position model. Lineage: Eukaryota; Fungi; Ascomycota; Dothideomycetes; Pleosporales; Periconiaceae. The record is from RNAcentral.